Non-coding RNA from Cinara cedri, 234 nucleotides. The record is from the annotation of a GenBank genome assembly. NCBI's taxonomy places the organism in Eukaryota, Metazoa, Arthropoda, Insecta, Hemiptera, Aphididae.
AAAGUUUAACAAAACACACUCACACACCUUAUAGUAAAGCUAAUUGCUUCUUUUCACCAUACAGUCAGAGUUUAAAGUACAUUUUAGUUAUUAUAAAUUUUGUUUACUUUUCGUGACUUUUCGGAAAUCACGUAAUAUCAGUCGUUAUACUCGUAUUUACCAUAAAAAUUUGAUCGCGACUGCCUUUAAGUCGCUGUGGUACAUCAAACUUCGUUAUCGUUACACAUAAUUCGU